RNAcentral lists this Y RNA (117 nucleotides) under Microcebus murinus (gray mouse lemur). RNAcentral's name for it is "Y RNA (ENSMICG00000037939.2)". It matches the Rfam family "Y RNA". From Rfam's summary of the family: Y RNAs are components of the Ro ribonucleoprotein particle (Ro RNP), in association with Ro60 and La proteins. The Y RNAs and Ro60 and La proteins are well conserved, but the function of the Ro RNP is not known. In humans the RNA component can be one of four small RNAs -- hY1, hY3, hY4 and hY5. The record is from Rfam by way of RNAcentral. Lineage: Eukaryota; Metazoa; Chordata; Mammalia; Primates; Cheirogaleidae.
GGUGGGUCCAAAGGUAGUGGGUUAUCUCACUAUCUGACUGUUCACAGUCAAUUACAGAUUGAACUCCUUGUUCUAAUACUUUCCCCCUUUCUCACUACUGCACUCGACCAGUCUUUA